GUAGGUGGCAAGCGUUGUCCGGAAUUAUUGGGCGUAAAGCGCGCGCAGGUGGUUCUUUAAGUCUGAUGUGAAAGCCCCCGGCUCAACCGGGGAGGGUCAUUGGAAACUGGGGAACUUGAGUGCAGGAGAGGAAGGUGGAAUUCCACGUGUAGCGGUGAAAUGCGUAGAUAUGUGGGGGAACACCUGUGGCGAAGGCGACUUUCUGGCCUGUAACUGACACUGAGGCGCGAAAGCGUGGGGAGCAAACAGGAUUAGAUACCCUGGUAGUCCACGCCGUAAGCGAUGAGUGCUAAGUGUUGGGGGGGUUUCCCGCCCCUCAGUGCUGCAGCUAACGCAUUAAGCACUCCGCCUGGGGAGUACGGUCGCAAGACUG
Molecule: ribosomal RNA, 373 nt
Filed under: uncultured organism
Description: partial 16S ribosomal RNA
Rfam family: Bacterial small subunit ribosomal RNA
Source: RNAcentral